AUUCAACUGCCUAAUGCUCCAGCCACUGGGAGGCCUCCAGUGGCAGACUCUGAACCCCUGAUGUCCACCACCUCCCUCUCCUCUCCUCUCAUCCACCCCUGCAACUCCUCCAUCCCAUGAUGUAGCAGAGUUCCAGUCACUCAGGAAAAAGGAGACCAAGAGCCCCACGUAGACAGAGGGCCUAGUUCUUGUGUGCCAAGGUGUGCCUACAGACUGUCACUUCGAUUCGGGGUUCCUCAGCCCAGCACUGCUGACACUGUGGAGCUGCCUAAGGAAGAGACCACUUAAACAUGUGCAGCAUUUUUUAAAAGCAAAAUUUCUAAAAGAUCGGGGCCUACCGUAAUUCUUCAUAUUACAUUUGUUGAACAAGUUCCAUCCCAGUCGAGAAUGAGGAGCAAAAAAUUCACAGGAGCCGGGAAAGAAAGCGUGAGGAUGGGCGUGGAGUAAUACGCCAGCUCUUCCUGGACAAGCCACCGUCUGAGGAAGAGAUGGCAAAGAGGAAGAGAGACUGUUCCUUCACCCCCACCUUUCUCCUGGCUUUCCAGCUCCUCCCAAAUGUCCGAGGUGAUGAUGAAGCCGGUGAGGCAUCCUGGAAGGAGGAGAAAUGGAUUAUCUUGCCCCAUGCUUGGGGUGUAUGCACUCAACUUUGGAGAUGACUCUAAGUGGUGAAAUGCUGGGAGGUCAUAGCAUGUUGCUCCAGUAGCAAAGGCAGCGAUGGAAC
Bos taurus (domestic cattle) is the source of this 721-nucleotide long non-coding RNA. NCBI's taxonomy places the organism in Eukaryota, Metazoa, Chordata, Mammalia, Artiodactyla, Bovidae. The record is from Ensembl.